Molecule: ribosomal RNA, 424 nt
Filed under: uncultured bacterium
Lineage: Bacteria
Description: bacterial SSU rRNA
Rfam family: Bacterial small subunit ribosomal RNA
Source: RNAcentral
UAAGGAAUAUUGGUCAAUGCCCGGAAGGGUGAACCAGCCAUCCCGCGUGAAGGAUGAAGGGGCUCUGCCUUGUAAACUUCUUUUGUAUGGGGCGAAAAAAGGGGAUUUAUCCUCGACUGACGGUACCAUAAGAAUAAGCACCGGCUAACUCCGUGCCAGCAGCCGCGGUAAUACGGAGGGUGCGAACGUUAUCCGGAAUCACUGGGUUUAAAGGGUGCGUAGGCUGUUUAAUAAGUCAGUGGUGAAAGGCCGUCGCUUAACGAUGGGACUGCCAUUGAUACUGUUAGACUUGAAUCAGGUUGAGGUUGGCGGAAUGUGGCAUGUAGCGGUGAAAUGCAUAGAUAUGCCAUGGAAUACCGAUUGCGAAGGCAGCUGACUGGACCUUGAUUGACGCUGAGGCACGAAAGCGUGGGUAGCGAACAGG